GAUGAACGCUAGCGAUAGGCUUAACACAUGCAAGUCGAGGGGCAGCAUGGUCUUAGCUUGCUAAGACUGAUGGCGACCGGCGCACGGGUGCGUAACGCGUAUGCAACUUGCCUCACAGAGGGGGAUAACCCGUCGAAAGACGGACUAAUACCGCGUACACUUGGGAUAGGGCAUCCUGACCCAAGGAAAUGAAAUUCGCUGUGAGAUAGGCAUGCGUCCCAUUAGCUAGUUGGUGAGGUAACGGCCCACCAAGGCGACGAUGGGUAGGGGAACUGAGAGGUUGAACCCCCACACUGGUACUGAGACACGGACCAGACUCCUACGGGAGGCAGCAGUGAGGAAGAUUGGUCAAUGGGCGAGAGCCUGAACCAGCCAAGUCGCGUGAAGGAUGACUGUCUUAUGGAUUGUAAACUUCUUUUAUACGGGAAUAACAAGAGUCACGUGUGGCUCCCUGCAUGUACCGUAUGAAUAAGCAUCGGCUAACUCCGUG
Molecule: ribosomal RNA, 490 nt
Filed under: uncultured bacterium
Lineage: Bacteria
Description: partial 16S ribosomal RNA
Rfam family: Bacterial small subunit ribosomal RNA
Source: RNAcentral